RNAcentral lists this transfer RNA (67 nucleotides) under Polycheles typhlops. RNAcentral's name for it is "tRNA-Asp". Lineage: Eukaryota; Metazoa; Arthropoda; Malacostraca; Decapoda; Polychelidae. The record is from RNAcentral.
AAAAAAUUAGUUAAACCGCUUAUAACCUAAGUUUGUCAGACUUAAAUUAUCUUACAGAUAUUUUUUA